UAUCGUGCUCCUACGCUGGCCCCUCCUCGGCAUGUUCCUGGAAACCUACGGAUUCUUCAGCCUCUUUAAGGGCUUUUUCCCUGUCGCCUUCGGCUUCCUGGGCAAUGUCUGCAACAUCCCCUUCCUGGGUGCGGUAAGCAGAUGAUGCCUGCAGCCCUGCGGGCGUACCCUGGGGAGUGAGGGGGAGCACACGGAGGGGAGCUGGUAAAACUGCUGCCCCAGGGGCAGUGGCCUCUCCCCUGUCUCCCCUCAGACCCCCUAGCCCAGGUUUGGUGCUUUAGGCUCCUCUUCCCCCCGCACCUUCUCCAUUUGACAAGAGCCCAUGAGGAGAGGGGAUCCAGACGCAGUUGUAGCUGAGUGUGGCUGUAGAGGCAGGUAGCUAUGAA
This 386-nucleotide long non-coding RNA is filed under the name Homo sapiens (human). RNAcentral's name for it is "non-protein coding lnc-KISS1-1:1". Lineage: Eukaryota; Metazoa; Chordata; Mammalia; Primates; Hominidae. The record is from RNAcentral.